CUGCCGCAGCUUACCAUGCAGUCGAACGGAAUCUUUAGGGAUUUAGUGGCGGACGGGUGAGUAACGCGUGAGAAUCUGGCUUCAGGUCUGGGACAACCACUGGAAACGGUGGCUAAUACCGGAUGUGCCGAGAGGUGAAAGGCUUGCUGCCUGAAGAUGAGCUUGCGUCUGAUUAGCUAGUUGGUGGGGUAAGAGCCUACCAAGGCGACGAUCAGUAGCUGGUCUGAGAGGAUGAUCAGCCACACUGGGACUGAGACACGGCCCAGACUCCUACGGGAGGCAGCAGUGGGGAAUUUUCCGCAAUGGGCGAAAGCCUGACGGAGCAAUACCGCGUGAGGGAGGAAGGCUCUUGGGUUGUAAACCUCUUUUCUCAGGGAAGAAAAAAAUGACGGUACCUGAGGAAUAAGCAUCGGCUAACUCCGUGCCAGCAGCCGCGGUAAUACGGAGGAUGCAAGCGUUAUCCGGAAUGAUUGGGCGUAAAGGGUCCGCAGGUGGCUGUGUAAGUCUGCUGUUAAAUAGUCAUGCUCAACAUGAUAAAGGCAGUGGAAACUACAUAGCUAGAGUGCGUUCGGGGCAGAGGGAAUUCCUGGUGUAGCGGUGAAAUGCGUAGAAAA
Molecule: ribosomal RNA, 614 nt
Filed under: Anabaena sp. 110
Lineage: Bacteria; Bacillati; Cyanobacteriota; Cyanophyceae; Nostocales; Nostocaceae
Description: bacterial SSU rRNA
Rfam family: Bacterial small subunit ribosomal RNA
Source: RNAcentral